CUACGGGACGCAGCAGUGAGGAAUAUUGGUCCAUGGUCGGGAGACUGAACCAGCCAAGCCGCGUGAGGGAUGAAGGUACAGAGUAUCGUAAACCUCUUUUGUCAGGGAACAAAGGCGGGGACGUGUCCCCGGAUGAGUGUACCUGAAGAAAAAGCAUCGGCUAACUCCGUGCCAGCAGCCGCGGUAAUACGGAGGAUGCGAGCGUUAUCCGGAUUUAUUGGGUUUAAAGGGUGCGCAGGCGGUCUGUUAAGUCAGCGGUCAAAGCCCGGGGCUCAACCCCGGCCCGCCGUUGAAACUGGCAGUCC
Molecule: ribosomal RNA, 305 nt
Filed under: uncultured bacterium
Lineage: Bacteria
Description: bacterial SSU rRNA
Rfam family: Bacterial small subunit ribosomal RNA
Source: RNAcentral